GACUUUCCAGAUACGAUUAAGUUAAGAAUUUUGAAAUGGAGAAAUUAUCCUGCAUUAUCUGGGUGGGUCAGAUGUAAUCACAAGAGUCCUUUUAAGACAGAGGUGGCGGAA
Molecule: non-coding RNA, 111 nt
Organism: Ceratotherium simum simum (southern white rhinoceros)
Lineage: Eukaryota; Metazoa; Chordata; Mammalia; Perissodactyla; Rhinocerotidae
Source: RefSeq, a predicted model, not a curated record